Molecule: ribosomal RNA, 492 nt
Filed under: uncultured bacterium
Lineage: Bacteria
Description: partial 16S ribosomal RNA
Rfam family: Bacterial small subunit ribosomal RNA
Source: RNAcentral
AGUGAACGCUGGCGGUAGGCCUAACACAUGCAAGUCGAACGGCAGCACAGUAAGAGCUUGCUCUUACGGGUGGCGAGUGGCGGACGGGUGAGGAAUACAUCGGAAUCUACUUUUUCGUGGGGGAUAACGUAGGGAAACUUACGCUAAUACCGCAUACGACCUACGGGUGAAAGCAGGGGAUCUUCGGACCUUGCGCGAUUGAAUGAUCCGAUGUCGGAUUAGCUAGUUGGCGGGGUAAAGGCCCACCAAGGCGACGAUCCGUAGCUGGUCUGAGAGGAUGAUCAGCCACACUGGAACUGAGACACGGUCCAGACUCCUACGGGAGGCAGCAGUGGGGAAUAUUGGACAAUGGGCGCAAGCCUGGUCCAGCCAUACCGCGUGGGUGAAGAAGGCCUUCGGGUUGUAAAGCCCUUUUGUUGGGAAAGAAAAGCAGCAGGUUAAUACCCCGCUGUUCUGACGGUACCCAAAGAAUAAGCACCGGCUAACUUCGUG